GACGAACGCUGGCGGCGUGCUUAACACAUGCAAGUCGAACGGAAAGGCCCUGCUUUUGUGGGGUGCUCGAGUGGCGAACGGGUGAGUAACACGUGAGUAACCUGCCCUUGACUUUGGGAUAACUUCAGGAAACUGGGGCUAAUACCGGAUAGGAGCUCCUGCUGCAUGGUGGGGGUUGGAAAGUUUCGGCGGUUGGGGAUGGACUCGCGGCUUAUCAGCUUGUUGGUGGGGUAGUGGCUUACCAAGGUUUUGACGGGUAGCCGGCCUGAGAGGGUGACCGGCCACAUGGGGACGGGGAUACGGCCCAGACUCCUACGGAGGGAAGCGGUGGGGAAUAUUGCACAAUGGGCGAAAGCCUGAGGCAGCAACGCCGCGUGCGGAAUGAGGGCCUUCGGGUUGUAAACCGCUUUCGCCUGUGACGAAGCGUAAGUGACGGAAAUGGGUAAAGAAGCACCGGCAAACUACGU
RNAcentral lists this ribosomal RNA (467 nucleotides) under uncultured bacterium. RNAcentral describes it as "partial 16S ribosomal RNA". It matches the Rfam family "Bacterial small subunit ribosomal RNA", at positions 28 to 506 of the family's 1533-position model. The record is from RNAcentral.